AAGACUGGGAUAACUCCGGGAAACCGGAGCUAAUACCGGAUAGUUCCUUGAACCGCAUGGUUCAAGGAUGAAAGACGGUUUCGGCUGUCACUUACAGAUGGACCCGCGGCGCAUUAGCUAGUUGGUGGGGUAAUGGCUCACCAAGGCGACGAUGCGUAGCCGACCUGAGAGGGUGAUCGGCCACACUGGGACUGAGACACGGCCCAGACUCCUACGGGAGGCAGCAGUAGGGAAUCUUCCGCAAUGGACGAAAGUCUGACGGAGCAACGCCGCGUGAGUGAUGAAGGUUUUCGGAUCGUAAAGCUCUGUUGUUAGGGAAGAACAAGUGCGAGAGUAACUGCUCGCACCUUGACGGUACCUAACCAGAAAGCCACGGCUAACUACGUGCCAGCAGCCGCGGUAAUACGUAGGUGGCAAGCGUUGUCCGGAAUUAUUGGGCGUAAAGGGCUCGCAGGCGGUUUCUUAAGUCUGAUGUGAAAGCCCCCGGCUCAACCGGGGAGGGUCAUUGGAAACUGGGAAACUUGAGUGCAGAAAAGGAGAGUGGAAUUCCACGUGUAACGGUGAAAUGCGUAAAGAUGUGGAGGAACACCAGUGGCGAAGGCGACUCUCUGGUCUGUAACUGACGCUGAGGAGCGAAAGCGUGGGGAGCGAACAGGAUUAGAUACCCUGGUAGUCCACGCCGUAAACGAUGAGUGCUAAGUGUUAGGGGGUUUCCGCCCCUUAGUGCUGCAGCUAACGCAUUAAGCACUCCGCCUGGGGAGUACGGUCGCAAGACUGAAACUCAAAGGAAUUGACGGGGGCCCGCACAAGCGGUGGAGCAUGUGGUUUAAUUCGAAGCAACGCGAAGAACCUUACCAGGUCUUGACAUCCUCUGACAACCCUAGAGAUAGGGCUUUCCCUUCGGGGACAGAGUGACAGGUGGUGCAUGGUUGUCGUCAGCUCGUGUCGUGAGAUGUUGGGUUAAGUCCCGCAACGAGCGCAACCCUUGAUCUUAGUUGCCAGCAUUUAGUUGGGCACUCUAAGGUGACUGCCGGUGACAAACCGGAGGAAGGUGGGGAUGACGUCAAAUCAUCAUGCCCCUUAUGACCUGGGCUACACACGUGCUACAAUGGACAGAACAAAGGGCUGCGAGACCGCAAGGUUUAGCCAAUCCCAUAAAUCUGUUCUCAGUUCGGAUCGCAGUCUGCAACUCGACUGCGUGAAGCUGGAAUCGCUAGUAAUCGCGGAUCAGCAUGCCGCGGUGAAUACGUUCCC
RNAcentral lists this ribosomal RNA (1254 nucleotides) under Bacillus sp. (in: firmicutes). RNAcentral describes it as "bacterial SSU rRNA". It matches the Rfam family "Bacterial small subunit ribosomal RNA", at positions 134 to 1375 of the family's 1533-position model. Lineage: Bacteria; Bacillati; Bacillota; Bacilli; Caryophanales; Bacillaceae. The record is from RNAcentral.